GACCUCGGGCUGUACGGGACUACCCGGCGGAUUUAAGCAUAUCAAUAAGCGGAGGA
RNAcentral lists this ribosomal RNA (56 nucleotides) under Pseudophacopteron alstonium. RNAcentral's name for it is "partial 28S ribosomal RNA". The record is from RNAcentral. Lineage: Eukaryota; Metazoa; Arthropoda; Insecta; Hemiptera; Phacopteronidae.